UACGAAGGGGGCUAGCGUUGCUCGGAAUCACUGGGCGUAAAGGGUGCGUAGGCGGGUCUUUAAGUCAGAGGUGAAAUCCUGGAGCUCAACUCCAGAACUGCCUUUGAUACUGAGGAUCUUGAGUUCGGGAGAGGUGAGUGGAACUGCGAGUGUAGAGGUGAAAUUCGUAGAUAUUCGCAAGAACACCAGUGGCGAAGGCGGCUCACUGGCCCGAUACUGAUGCUGAGGCACGAAAGCGUGGGGAGCAAACAGG
RNAcentral lists this ribosomal RNA (253 nucleotides) under uncultured bacterium. Its description in RNAcentral is "partial 16S ribosomal RNA". It matches the Rfam family "Bacterial small subunit ribosomal RNA", at positions 524 to 776 of the family's 1533-position model. The record is from RNAcentral.